This 530-nucleotide ribosomal RNA is filed under the name uncultured bacterium. RNAcentral describes it as "bacterial SSU rRNA". It matches the Rfam family "Bacterial small subunit ribosomal RNA", at positions 777 to 1306 of the family's 1533-position model. The record is from RNAcentral.
AAUAGAUACCCUGGUAGUCCACGCCCUAAACGAUGAAUACUCGAUGUUGGCGAUAUACGGUCAGCGUCUAGGCGAAAGCGUUAAGUAUUCCACCUGGGGAGUACGCCCGCAAGGGUGAAACUCAAAGGAAUUGACGGGGGGCCCGCACAAGCGGAGGAGCAUGUGGUUUAAUUCGAUGAUACGCGAGGAACCUUACCCGGGCUUGAAAGUUAGUGAAUUGAGCAGAGACGCUCAAGUCCUUCGGGACACGAAACUAGGUGCUGCAUGGCUGUCGUCAGCUCGUGCCGUGAGGUGUUGGGUUAAGUCCCGCAACGAGCGCAACCCCGUAUGUUUAGUUGCCAGCAUGUAAUGGUGGGGACUCUAAACAGACUGCCUAUGCAAAUAGAGAGGAAGGAGGGGACGACGUCAAGUCAUCAUGGCCCUUACGUCCGGGGCUACACACGUGCUACAAUGGGCAGUACAGAGGGCAGCUACCUGGCAACAGGAUGCCAAUCUCCAAAACGCUGUUCACGAGUUCGGGAUCGGGGUCU